UUUAAUAUUUCUGUGAUGCUUUUUUUGCAGCUGAACUCCUCUAAUCUUUCUCUAACUCUGUACUUCACCAGUAUCAUAUUCAUUCUCUUUUUUGAUAUCAUAGUUACGGAUUUUCCUCAAGUUUUAGAAGCAUUUUUUAGGCCGUUUAUUUUGAUUAGACUGGGAUUGAUUUCUCUCUUCUCAGUCCAGCUGUUCUCUUGGUUGUGCUGCUUCCAGUAGUGUAUGUUUAUAUUAAAGCUUUUAUCCAAUCAUAUUUCAGCUAUCAUGUGUUGCCAGGGUCAAAGGGUGUUGCUAUGGCGCUCUGAGGCGUUUCUAGGGCAUUGCUAUGGUGUUCUAAAGGGUUUCUAGGGUGUUGCUGUCGUGUUCUGAAGGGUUUCUAGGGUGUUGCUGUGGCAUUCUGAGGGGUUUCUAGGGUGUUGCUAUGGUGUUCUGGGGGGUUUCUAGGGUGUGGUUAUGGCAUUCUGAGGGGUUUCUAAGGUGUUGCUAUGGUGUUCUGAGAGGUUUCUAGGGUGUUGCUAUGGUGUUCAGAUGGGUUUCUUGGUGGUUUCUGUGGUGUUCUAAGGGGCUGCUAGGUGAUUCAUAUUUUGGGAUAAUUUUAGGAGAGUGUUCAAAUCACUAACCUCGAGCAUUAUUUUUGUAGUAAUGAUUACCUAACAAUCGGCACUAGUUUGUUUCUAAAGGCAGUGAGGUUUCAUCAGAUGGUCAUUGAUGUCUGGUUUCAGAUGGCUGGUUAUCCAGCAGAGCAUUGUUCCCGUACAGCCUGUUAUCUCU
Cyprinus carpio carpio is the source of this 771-nucleotide long non-coding RNA. The record is from Ensembl. NCBI's taxonomy places the organism in Eukaryota, Metazoa, Chordata, Actinopteri, Cypriniformes, Cyprinidae.